UGCCGUGAAAAAGAAGUUGAAAGACAAACUAGAUGAGUUUCAGAUUCUUAGGGAGAGAAUCCAGAAAGAGUAUCGGGAGGUUGUUGAGCGACGUAUUUUCACAGUGAUGGGCACAAGACCAGAUGAAGAGACAAUUGAAAGAUUGAUUGCAACUGGAGAUAGCGAACAAAUAUUCGAGAAAGCAAUUCAGGAGCAGGGACGGGGCCAGGUUUGACUUAAUUUUCUUUAUUUCUUCCUUUAUACUAAUAGUAGAUAA
Long non-coding RNA from Hibiscus syriacus, 256 nucleotides. RefSeq lists it as uncharacterized. The record is from RefSeq and is a predicted model, not a curated record. Lineage: Eukaryota; Viridiplantae; Streptophyta; Magnoliopsida; Malvales; Malvaceae. The transcript is spliced from 4 exons.